This 497-nucleotide ribosomal RNA is filed under the name uncultured bacterium. Its description in RNAcentral is "partial 16S ribosomal RNA". It matches the Rfam family "Bacterial small subunit ribosomal RNA", at positions 28 to 507 of the family's 1533-position model. The record is from RNAcentral.
GACGAACGCUGGCGGCGUGCCUAAUACAUGCAAGUUGAGCGCUGAAGGUUGGUACUUGUACCAACUGGAUGAGCAGCGAACGGGUGAGUAACGCGUGGGGAAUCUGCCUUUGAGCGGGGGACAACAUUUGGAAACGAAUGCUAAUACCGCAUAAAAACUUUAAACACAAGUUUUAAGUUUGAAAGAUGCAAUUGCAUCACUCAAAGAUGAUCCCGCGUUGUAUUAGCUAGUUGGUGAGGUAAAGGCUCACCAAGGCGAUGAUACAUAGCCGACCUGAGAGGGUGAUCGGCCACAUUGGGACUGAGACACGGCCCAAACUCCUACGGGAGGCAGCAGUAGGGAAUCUUCGGCAAUGGACGAAAGUCUGACCGAGCAACGCCGCGUGAGUGAAGAAGGUUUUCGGAUCGUAAAACUCUGUUGGUAGAGAAGAACGUUGGUGAGAGUGGAAAGCUCAUCAAGUGACGGUAACUACCCAGAAAGGGACGGCUAACUACGUA